UUCACAACGGAGAGUUUGAUCCUGGCUCAGGAUGAACGCUAGCGGCAGGCCUAACACAUGCAAGUCGAACGGUAACAGGGAUUGCUUGCAA
Molecule: ribosomal RNA, 91 nt
Filed under: Luteibaculum oceani
Lineage: Bacteria; Pseudomonadati; Bacteroidota; Flavobacteriia; Flavobacteriales; Luteibaculaceae
Description: partial 16S ribosomal RNA
Rfam family: Bacterial small subunit ribosomal RNA
Source: RNAcentral